AUAGCUUGCUAUCAAUGCUGACGAGCGGCGGACGGGUGAGUAAUGCCUGGGAAUAUGCCCUGAUGUGGGGGAUAACUAUUGGAAACGAUAGCUAAUACCGCAUAAUCUCUUCGGAGCAAAGAGGGGGACCUUCGGGCCUCUCGCGUCAGGAUUAGCCCAGGUGGGAUUAGCUUGUUGGUGGGGUAAUGGCUCACCAAGGCAACGAUCCCUAGCUGGUCUGAGAGGAUGAUCAGCCACACUGGAACUGAGACACGGUCCAGACUCCUACGGGAGGCAGCAGUGGGGAAUAUUGCACAAUGGGGGAAACCCUGAUGCAGCCAUGCCGCGUGUAUGAAGAAGGCCUUCGGGUUGUAAAGUACUUUCAGUUGUGAGGAAGGCAGUAAAGUUAAUAGCUUUGCUGUUUGACGUUAGCAACAGAAGAAGCACCGGCUAACUCCGUGCCAGCAGCCGCGGUAAUACGGAGGGUGCGAGCGUUAAUCGGAAUUACUGGGCGUAAAGCGCAUGCAGGUGGUCUGUUAAGCAAGAUGUGAAAGCCCGGGGCUCAACCUCGGAACAGCAUUUUGAACUGGCAGACUAGAGUACUGUAG
RNAcentral lists this ribosomal RNA (587 nucleotides) under bacterium 4878K2-B41. Its description in RNAcentral is "bacterial SSU rRNA". It matches the Rfam family "Bacterial small subunit ribosomal RNA", at positions 75 to 654 of the family's 1533-position model. The record is from RNAcentral.